RNAcentral lists this ribosomal RNA (497 nucleotides) under uncultured bacterium. RNAcentral's name for it is "partial 16S ribosomal RNA". It matches the Rfam family "Bacterial small subunit ribosomal RNA", at positions 28 to 507 of the family's 1533-position model. The record is from RNAcentral.
GAUGAACGCUGGCGGCGUGCCUAAUACAUGCAAGUCGAGCGAACAGACGAGGAGCUUGCUCCUCUGACGUUAGCGGCGGACGGGUGAGUAACACGUGGAUAACCUACCUAUAAGACUGGGAUAACUUCGGGAAACCGGAGCUAAUACCGGAUAAUAUAUUGAACCGCAUGGUUCAAUAGUGAAAGACGGUUUUGCUGUCACUUAUAGAUGGAUCCGCGCCGCAUUAGCUAGUUGGUAAGGUAACGGCUUACCAAGGCGACGAUGCGUAGCCGACCUAAGAGGGUGAUCGGCCACACUGGAACUGAGACACGGUCCAGACUCCUACGGGAGGCAGCAGUAGGGAAUCUUCCGCAAUGGGCGAAAGCCUGACGGAGCAACGCCGCGUGAGUGAUGAAGGUCUUCGGAUCGUAAAACUCUGUUAUUAGGGAAGAACAAAUGUGUAAGUAACUAUGCACGUCUUGACGGUACCUAAUCAGAAAGCCACGGCUAACUACGUG